This 449-nucleotide ribosomal RNA is filed under the name uncultured bacterium. Its description in RNAcentral is "bacterial SSU rRNA". It matches the Rfam family "Bacterial small subunit ribosomal RNA", at positions 28 to 513 of the family's 1533-position model. The record is from RNAcentral.
GAUGAACGCUAGCGGUAUGCUUAACACAUGCAAGUCGUACGGGAGUUUUUAACUCAGGUGGCGGACGGGUGAGUAACACGUGAGAAUUUACCUUUAGGAGGGGAUAACAAUUGGAAACGAUUGCUAAUACCCCAUAUGCUUUUUUAAAGUGAAACGGAUUUAUUCGCCUAAAGAAAAGCUCGCGGCUGAUUAGCUAGUUGGUAAGGUAAUGGCUUACCAAGGCGACGAUCAGUAUCUGGUUUGAGAGGAUGAUCAGACACACUGGAACUGAGACACGGUCCAGACUCCUACGGGAGGCAGCAGUGGGAAUUUUCCGCAAUGGCGAAAGCCUGACGGAGCAAUACCGCGUGAGGGAAGAAAGCCUACUGGGUUGUAAACCUCUUUUUUCAGGGUAGGAAAAAAAUGACGUGUACCUGAAGAAUAAGACAUCGGCUAACUCCGUGCCAGCA